CCCUUAGAGUUUGAUCCUGGCUCAGGACGAACGCUGGCGGCGCGCCUAACACAUGCAAGUCGAACGAGCGAGAGAGAGCUUGCUUUCUCGAGCGAGUGGCGAACGGGUGAGUAACGCGUGAGGAAUCUGCCUCAAAGAGGGGGACAACAGUUGGAAACGACUGCUAAUACCGCAUAAGCCCACGGUGCCGCAUGGCACAGAGGGAAAAGGAGUAAUCCGCUUUGAGAUGGCCUCGCGUCCGAUUAGCUAGUUGGUGAGGUAACGGCCCACCAAGGCGACGAUCGGUAGCCGGACUGAGAGGUUGAACGGCCACAUUGGGACUGAGACACGGCCCAGACUCCUACGGGAGGCAGCAGUGGGGAAUAUUGCACAAUGGGGGAAACCCUGAUGCAGCGACGCCGCGUGGAGGAAGAAGGUCUUCGGAUUGUAAACUCCUGUUGUUGGGGAAGAUAAUGACGGUACCCAACAAGGAAGUGACGGCUAACUACGUGCCAGCAGCCGCGGUAAAACGUAGGUCACAAGCGUUGUCCGGAAUUACUGGGUGUAAAGGGAGCGCAGGCGGGAAGACAAGUUGGAAGUGAAAUCUAUGGGCUCAACCCAUAAACUGCUUUCAAAACUGUUUUUCUUGAGUAGUGCAGAGGUAGGCGGAAUUCCCGGUGUAGCGGUGGAAUGCGUAGAUAUCGGGAGGAACACCAGUGGCGAAGGCGGCCUACUGGGCACCAACUGACGCUGAGGCUCGAAAGUGUGGGUAGCAAACAGGAUUAGAUACCCUGGUAGUCCACACCGUAAACGAUGAUUACUAGGUGUUGGAGGAUUGACCCCUUCAGUGCCGCAGUUAACACAAUAAGUAAUCCACCUGGGGAGUACGACCGCAAGGUUGAAACUCA
RNAcentral lists this ribosomal RNA (887 nucleotides) under uncultured bacterium. RNAcentral's name for it is "bacterial SSU rRNA". It matches the Rfam family "Bacterial small subunit ribosomal RNA", at positions 1 to 903 of the family's 1533-position model. The record is from RNAcentral.